AAUGAACGUUGGCGGCGUGGAUUAGGCAUGCAAGUCGAACGAGAAGCUUUUAAAAGAUACCUCGGUUGAUUUAAAAGUGGACAGUGGCGAAAGGGAGAGUAACGAGUAGAUACGUACCCAGGGGUCUGGGAUAGCUGCGGGAAACUGCAGGUAAUACCGGAUAAUGUCUCCGGACCAAAGAUUUAUUGCCCUUGGAGCGGUCUGCUUACUAUUAGCUUGUUGGUGAGGUAAUGGCUCACCAAGGCAAAGAUGGUUAGCGGGUGUGAGAGCAUGGCCCGUCUCACUGGGACUGAGACACUGCCCAGACACCUACGGGUGGCUGCAGUCGAGAAUCUUCCGCAAUGGACAAAGUCUGACGGAGCGACGCCGCGUGCGGGAUGAAGGCCUUCGGUUGUAACCGC
RNAcentral lists this ribosomal RNA (401 nucleotides) under uncultured bacterium. RNAcentral describes it as "bacterial SSU rRNA". It matches the Rfam family "Bacterial small subunit ribosomal RNA", at positions 29 to 433 of the family's 1533-position model. The record is from RNAcentral.